GAUCCUGGCUCAGGAUGAACGCUGGCGGCGUGCUUAACACAUGCAAGUCGAACGAAGCACUUUAUUUGAUUUCCUUCGGGACUGAUUAUUUUGUGACUGAGUGGUGGACGGGUGAGUAACGCGUGGGUAACCUGCCUUGUACAGGGGGAUAACAGUUGGAAACGGCUGCUAAUACCGCAUAAGCGCACGGCAUCGCAUGAUGCGGUGUGAAAAACUCCGGUGGUGUGAGAUGGAUCCG
RNAcentral lists this ribosomal RNA (238 nucleotides) under uncultured bacterium. RNAcentral's name for it is "partial 16S ribosomal RNA". It matches the Rfam family "Bacterial small subunit ribosomal RNA", at positions 15 to 233 of the family's 1533-position model. The record is from RNAcentral.